ACUCAAAGGAAUUGACGGGGGCCCGCACAAGCAGUGGAGCAUGUGGUUUAAUUCGAUGCAACGCGAAGAACCUUACCUGGGCUCGAAAUGUAGAGGAAUAUGACAGAGAUGGCAUAGCCCGCAAGGGCCUCUAUAUAGGUGCUGCAUGGCUGUCGUCAGCUCGUGCCGUGAGGUGUUUGGUUAAGUCCAGCAACGAGCGCAACCCUUAUCGUUAGUUGCCAGCGCGUAAUGGCGGGAACUCUAACGAGACUGCCUGGGUUAACCAGGAGGAAGGUGAGGAUGACGUCAAGUCCGCAUGGCCUUUAUGUCCAGGGCUACACACGUGCUACAAUGGUCGGUACAGAAGGCAGCGAAACCGUAAGGCGGAGCAAAUCCUGAAAAACCGAUCUCAGUUCAGAUUGUAGUCUGCAACUCGACUACAUGAAGUUGGAAUUGCUAGUAAUGGCGUGUCAGCAACAACGCCGUGAAUACGUUCCCGGGCCUUGCACACACCGCCCGU
This 499-nucleotide ribosomal RNA is filed under the name uncultured bacterium. RNAcentral describes it as "partial 16S ribosomal RNA". It matches the Rfam family "Bacterial small subunit ribosomal RNA", at positions 899 to 1397 of the family's 1533-position model. The record is from RNAcentral.